RNAcentral lists this ribosomal RNA (435 nucleotides) under uncultured bacterium. Its description in RNAcentral is "partial 16S ribosomal RNA". It matches the Rfam family "Bacterial small subunit ribosomal RNA", at positions 29 to 507 of the family's 1533-position model. The record is from RNAcentral.
AGCGAACGCUGGCGGCAGGCUUAACACAUGCAAGUCGAGCGGGCACUUUCGGGUGUCAGCGGCGGACGGGUGAGUAACGCGUGGGAACGUGCCCUCUGGUUCGGAAUAACUCAGGGAAACUUGAGCUAAUACCGGAUACGCCCUUUUGGGGAAAGGCUUGCUGCCGGAGGAUCGGCCCGCGUCUGAUUAGCUAGUUGGUGAGGUAACGGCUCACCAAGGCGACGAUCAGUAGCUGGUCUGAGAGGAUGAUCAGCCACACUGGGACUGAGACACGGCCCAGACUCCUACGGGAGGCAGCAGUGGGGAAUAUUGGGCAAUGGGCGCAAGCCUGAUCCAGCCAUGCCGCGUGAGUGAUGAAGGCCUUAGGGUUGUAAAGCUCUUUUAUCCGGGACGAUAAUGACGGUACCGGAGGAAUAAGCCCCGGCUAACUUCGUG